GUUAGUGGCGGACGGGUGAGUAACGCGUGAGAAUCUGCCCUCAGGAGGGGGAUAACAGUAGGAAACGACUGCUACUACCCCAUAUGCCGAGAGGUGAAACGAAUUUUGCCUGGGGAUGAGCUCGCGUCUGAUUAGCUUGUUGGUGGGGUAAAAGCCUACCAAGGCUUCGAUCAGUAGCUGGUCUGAGAGGACGAUCAGCCACACUGGGACUGAGAUACGGCCCAGACUCCUACGGGAGGCAGCAGUGGGGAAUUUUCCGCAAUGGGCGCAAGCCUGAUUGAGCAACGCCGCGUGAGGGAUGAAGGCCUUUGGGCUGUAAACCUCUUUUCUCCAGGAAGAAGAUCUGACGGUACUUGAGGAAUAAGCCACGGCUAAUUCCGUGCCAGCAGCCG
This 392-nucleotide ribosomal RNA is filed under the name uncultured bacterium. RNAcentral's name for it is "bacterial SSU rRNA". It matches the Rfam family "Bacterial small subunit ribosomal RNA", at positions 91 to 517 of the family's 1533-position model. The record is from RNAcentral.